GUAGGGUCCGAGCGUUGUCCGGAAUUAUUGGGCGUAAAGGGCUCGUAGGCGGUUUGUCGCGUCGGGAGUGAAAACAGCGGGCUUAACUCGUUGCUUGCUUCCGAUACGGGCAGACUAGAGGUAUGCAGGGGAGAAUGGAAUUCCUGGUGUAGCGGUGAAAUGCGCAGAUAUCAGGAGGAACACCGGUGGCGAAGGCGGUUCUCUGGGCAUUACCUGACGCUGAGGAGCGAAAGUGUGGGGAGCGAACAGGAUUAGAUACCCUGGUAGUCCACACCGUAAACGUUGGGCGCUAGGUGUGGGGUCCUUUCCACGGAUUCCGUGCCGUAGCUAACGCAUUAAGCGCCCCGCCUGGGGAGUACGGCCGCAAGGCUAAA
This 374-nucleotide ribosomal RNA is filed under the name uncultured bacterium. Its description in RNAcentral is "bacterial SSU rRNA". It matches the Rfam family "Bacterial small subunit ribosomal RNA", at positions 527 to 898 of the family's 1533-position model. The record is from RNAcentral.